UAUUGUUCGGUAUGAUUGAAAGCUCGGGAACAGCUGGAAUGGUUCUAUUCUAUUGGAUUCUAUUCUAUUCUGUUUGUUUUCCUGACCUGUAGCGGGCCCAGGGGAAGGUGAGACAAUGGCAGGCUGGCAGUAAACUUGUUCCUGGAGUUGUCUAUCUGUCACCACCCUGGAGGGGCCACAGAGAUGCUGUCAGUCUGCACAUGAUCAUCUGACUUGCAGACAGAUGUGUGUGUGUGUACGUGGGUGUGUGUAUGACUGUGUGUGGCGAUGUUUUUCUGUGUGGGUACGACUGCCUGUCUCCGCCUCUGCUCUGUUGCCGAGAAUGCUCUUGUUGACUUCUCACUGGGUAAACAGAGGGAUCGUAAAUCCACAACACAAAAGGUAGAAGGCAGCGAGGAGAGAGGAGGAGGAGAGGGAAAAUGAACUUCCCCUGGCAAGUUUCCCACAUCGUCAGAAAAGCGGCAGACGGUGUAAAGGUGCUGGUUCUACAUGCUAUCCGGUUGUCUCGCCUGAACUUAAGAACGUAAGUAGAUCGUCACCUUUUAAAGUGAGACAACACCAGGAGGAAGACAUUUAGUAAGGAGAAGGGGUAGCAGGAGAAAAUGAGACCGAAAUGAGGAGAAAGAAAAUAAGGGUGAAACAAAGCUGGGAAAAGCAGCGUGUACAAAAUCUAUUUAGUUUUAUCCCAGUUUGCCCCUCCCUUCCCCAAGAUGCAGAUAACAUGAAUAAUUUUGCGACUUUGUUGGGAAAACUUUCUAAAGUGUGGCAAGGCAGACUGGAGAUGAUAAAUUAUUCAAAUGUUUCAUCGGAGCCAUGCCGCUUGCGUAGGGCAGGCCUCUAUAAUAUGCAUGUAAGAAGACAUGAUGAAACAACUCCAUAAACAGUAGAGAGUGAGAGAGUGUUUGGGGAGCGAGGGGCGGGAGGAAGGGGUGAUGCAGAGACAAGUGACUUUGACUCUGACUCUGUGCAAGGCAUUCACGCGCUAGGCCUCUAUAAUAUAUACAUCUAAGGACACUUGAUGAAAUGGCUUUGUGGGAUGUGGGAAAGGGUUGGGCGCAGAAAAAGGGUUGCAGAUUAAGCGGGAGAUAAGGACGACAGAGAGGAAAACAGUGGAGUUAAAGAAUGAUGCACGAAAAGGGGAAAUUGAUAUUCCUGCCAUUGUGAAUAGUACGUGUUUGCGUGAGAGACGGGGAGAGAAGGGUAUUUGCAGUAAGGCAGUCCACUUUCUUCUCAAGUAUCAAGGGAGGAAAAAUGUGCAUUUCAAAAAGAUCAUUUUCUGCUGCCUGAUGUGAUGGAAUGCAUGGGAGUAAACCUUUAUACUAUCUGUUGGCCCAAGGUGAACUAAACUUGGCUUUUGUUUUUAUUUCUUCCCCGUGAUGUUUAAAUUCGUAUGCUUAAAGCAAACCUCAUGUGAUAUACAGGGCUAGGCUAGAUGUUUAAAUUUUUUGAUACAGGGG
Sebastes umbrosus (honeycomb rockfish) is the source of this 1457-nucleotide long non-coding RNA. RefSeq lists it as uncharacterized. The transcript has 2 exons. The record is from RefSeq and is a predicted model, not a curated record. Lineage: Eukaryota; Metazoa; Chordata; Actinopteri; Perciformes; Sebastidae.